UACGUAGGGCGCAAGCGUUUGUCCGGAAUUAUUGGGCGUAAAGAGCUCGUAGGCGGUUUGUCGCGUCUGCUGUGAAAUCCCACGGCUCAACCGUGGAACUGCUCGGUAUACUGCUUUUCUUGAGCCACUUAGGGGCUGUCGGAACAAACGGUGGAGCGGUGAAUGCGUAGAUAUCGUUUGGAACGCCAACGGUGAAGACAGACAGCUGGGAGUGUGCUGACGCUGGAGACACGAAGCCAGGGGAGCGAACGGG
This 253-nucleotide ribosomal RNA is filed under the name uncultured bacterium. RNAcentral's name for it is "partial 16S ribosomal RNA". It matches the Rfam family "Bacterial small subunit ribosomal RNA", at positions 524 to 776 of the family's 1533-position model. The record is from RNAcentral.